Molecule: ribosomal RNA, 370 nt
Filed under: Serratia sp. (in: enterobacteria)
Lineage: Bacteria; Pseudomonadati; Pseudomonadota; Gammaproteobacteria; Enterobacterales; Yersiniaceae
Description: bacterial SSU rRNA
Rfam family: Bacterial small subunit ribosomal RNA
Source: RNAcentral
AGUCGAGCGGUAGCACAAGGGAGCUUGCUCCCUGGGUGACGAGCGGCGGACGGGUGAGUAAUGUCUGGGAAACUGCCUGAUGGAGGGGGAUAACUACUGGAAACGGUAGCUAAUACCGCAUAACGUCGCAAGACCAAAGAGGGGGACCUUCGGGCCUCUUGCCAUCAGAUGUGCCCAGAUGGGAUUAGCUAGUAGGUGGGGUAAUGGCUCACCUAGGCGACGAUCCCUAGCUGGUCUGAGAGGAUGACCAGCCACACUGGAACUGAGACACGGUCCAGACUCCUACGGGAGGCAGCAGUGGGGAAUAUUGCACAAUGGGCGCAAGCCUGAUGCAGCCAUGCCGCGUGUGUGAAGAAGGCCUUCGGGUUGU